UACGUAGGGUGCAAGCGUUGUCCGGAAUUAUUGGGCGUAAAGAGCUCGUAGGCGGUUUGUCGCGUCUGCUGUGAAAACUCGGGGCUCAACUCCGAGCUUGCAGUGGGUACGGGCAGACUAGAGUGCGGUAGGGGAGACUGGAAUUCCUGGUGUAGCGGUGAAAUGCGUAGAUAUCCGGAGGAACACCGGUGGCGAAGGCGGCUUCCUGGACCGACACUGACGCUGAGGCGCGAAAGCUAGGGGAGCAAACGGG
Molecule: ribosomal RNA, 253 nt
Filed under: uncultured bacterium
Lineage: Bacteria
Description: partial 16S ribosomal RNA
Rfam family: Bacterial small subunit ribosomal RNA
Source: RNAcentral